This 520-nucleotide unclassified non-coding RNA is filed under the name uncultured Entrophospora. RNAcentral's name for it is "SSU rRNA". It matches the Rfam family "Eukaryotic small subunit ribosomal RNA", at positions 569 to 1086 of the family's 1831-position model. The record is from RNAcentral. Lineage: Eukaryota; Fungi; Glomeromycota; Glomeromycetes; Entrophosporales; Entrophosporaceae.
AGCAGCCGCGGUAAUUCCAGCUCCAAUAGCGUAUAUUAAAGUUGUUGCAGUUAAAAGCUCGUAGUUGAAUUUCGGGAUUGACACAUCGGUCGUGCCUUAAGGGGUAUGAACUGGUGUAGUCAAUUUCUCACCUUCUGGAGAACCGCGAUGCCCCUAAUUGGGUGUCGCGGGGAACCAGGACCUUUACUUUGAAAAAUUAGAGUGUUUAAAGCAGGCAUUAUGCUUGAAUACAUUAGCAUGGAAUAAUAAAAUAGGACGGCAUGAUUCUAUUUUGUUGGUUUCUAGGAUCACCGUAAUGAUUAAUAGGGAUAGUUGGGGGCAUUAGUAUUCAAUUGUCAGAGGUGAAAUUCUUGGAUUUAUUGAAGACUAACUACUGCGAAAGCAUUUGCCAAGGAUGUUUUCAUUAAUCAAGAACGAAAGUUAGGGAUCGAAGACGAUCAGAUACCGUCGUAGUCUUAACCAUAAACUAUGCCGACUAGGAAUCAGACGAUGUUAAUUUUUAAUGUACUUCGUUUGGCUA